This 199-nucleotide long non-coding RNA is filed under the name Vigna radiata. Its description in RNAcentral is "long non-coding RNA (VRAD_LNC004013)". The record is from RNAcentral. Lineage: Eukaryota; Viridiplantae; Streptophyta; Magnoliopsida; Fabales; Fabaceae.
ACGACUGUGCGAAGGAGAGACAACNNAAAUUUGAAAAUGAAAUCNCUAGCAAUGAGCACCAACUAUUCUNGACAGAGGAAUAAGUGAAAAAUGAAGCAGGGCAGUUUGGGAAACUCAUCCAAAGCAGAUUUUCUUAUUAAGAAAAUAAAUUCAAACCCAACCAAGUACAACGCGCCACGUGGCGUUGUCAAAAGUGUUG